UAAAAAGUAGUGUACUGGAUGCACUUAAAGUUUUGAUCUUUAGAGGGUGGGUUCGAGUCCCAUCUUUUUAG
This 71-nucleotide transfer RNA is filed under the name Batrachoseps nigriventris (black-bellied slender salamander). RNAcentral's name for it is "tRNA-Gln". It matches the Rfam family "tRNA". Rfam says of the family: Transfer RNA (tRNA) molecules are approximately 80 nucleotides in length. Their secondary structure includes four short double-helical elements and three loops (D, anti-codon, and T loops). Further hydrogen bonds mediate the characteristic L-shaped molecular structure. tRNAs have two regions of fundamental functional importance: the anti-codon, which is responsible for specific mRNA codon recognition, and the 3' end, to which the tRNAs corresponding amino acid is attached (by aminoacyl-tRNA synthetases). tRNAs cope with the degeneracy of the genetic code in two manners: having more than one tRNA (with a specific anti-codon) for a particular amino acid; and 'wobble' base-pairing, i.e. permitting non-standard base-pairing at the 3rd anti-codon position. The record is from RNAcentral. Lineage: Eukaryota; Metazoa; Chordata; Amphibia; Caudata; Plethodontidae.